This is a long non-coding RNA of Ictalurus punctatus (channel catfish), 3738 nucleotides long. The record is from Ensembl. Lineage: Eukaryota; Metazoa; Chordata; Actinopteri; Siluriformes; Ictaluridae.
GGCCAACCAAAUUAGAUAAGAGAAAAUGAAAACUAAAAAGAGCAGCAGAGAUUAUAUUGUUUACUAGUAUUAAAGCAAAGUUGAACUCAAAAUGUGCUUAAAAAAAUUAAUAAAUUCAUCACCUUUUUUCCCCCCAUUUAGACUUUUAAUCCACAAUAUUUCAGUAAGCAUUAUGUAUGAGCUCAGUUUAUUGAGCCACAAAAUAAGCUCCACAGCUUUGGGCCUGUCAUGUCCAAUAUGCAAAUUCUUUGAGAAUGAUAUGGCACCUGGGGACCUGCAUGCUAAAACUGCUUCACUGAUGUGAAUAAUGUUAUGGUAUAUUUUCACAGGUUUGCCUACUGUCACAACAUACUGAGAAUCUAACAAUGCAAAACGAGACUCGGAUACAAAAACCCAGUUAGAACCUUCACUAGCUAGUUAGCUAGUGAGAAAGCCCAAUUUGUUUGUUUGUUUGUUUAUUUAUUUAUUUAUUUUUGUCCAUUGUUAAAAGCGCUAUACAAAUAAAAUUGAAUUGAGCUUGUCUAGGAUCCCUCUAGGUGAAAGACUGCGCAGUGUGUGAGCCUUGUCUGCGAUCGCUACAUCCGAAAAACAACAAAUCACAAGCGAUAAAAGUCAUUUACAAUGAGCAAUACGGCAAUUCUGAGGUUUUGAAAGUCGUGGAGUAUAUAAAUGUGUUUUCUGUGCUUCUUGCCUUUGCUUUCCAAAGUUCAUGAUUCCACAUCUCUUACUUUCCACAAACACACUGGAGACAGGAAAAUGCGCAACAAACAGAUGGUAAUUUCUAAGCAAUAGAGUUUGGUUUCAGGGACAAUAUGGUGCCAUAAGACAGUUCUCCAAAUAGAGAGCAAUUUCCAAUAAAGUGCAUUUUACACAAAAACAUGGCCUUGCUAUUUAUGAUCGUGCCAAGAACCGGAGGGCUUGUGUUUAACAGCCAUAUGCACGCACUGCCUUGGGUACAGUGCCAAUGUGUAGGUCUGAGGAAGGCAUUCCCGGCAGUCUCUAAUGGGCUAAACCAUUAGAUUUGGCAAAUGGGCGAACCCAUGGGUUUGGCAGAUUGAAAACCUGGCAACAUGUGAGGACACUGAAUUUCACUAUGGCAGAAAACAAAUGCAUCUCAAUAAACCUGGUGAUAAAUGCAUCCAAAUUGAUUUAGAUCUUGAGUAUGGUGCAUAAGGAUGCUCAAUGUUACACAUUACUAGAUCAAGUGUUCUUGACUGCGAUCACCAUAAAUUCGCUAGAAAUAAAGAACAGAAAUAAAACUAACCUAAAACACAAAACCAUUCAUGUCAAGGGAAUAAUAUGCCAAUAAAUAAAUACAUUUUCCAUCAACAUUAGAAAAACCAUCAGUACCAUGCUAAAGAGGUAUGGUAAAGAGGCACUACCAUGGAAACACUUCAACCUAUGAAUAAUUCAAACCUGUUGCCUACAACCGUUGCUUACUUUAUUUAAUUUUUCCCUUCAACCUGACACUGGACCGGCAAUUACUUUGGACCGACACACUGUAUUCAUUGACACUCUAUUCGUUGGUGAAAAAUGUAAUCAUCCCUGCCACUGAGAGAGAACCGUAUUCUCCUUUGACAUUGUAAAAAAAAUAAAAUAAAAUAUGAUCAAAGCAUGACUUCACAUCAAAGUCUAGCUAGACGUUCAAACUGUCAUUAUACGAACCGGCAUCAGAGCAAGCAUGUGCAAGAGCGAUGUGAGGAACCGACACAAAAUACCAAAGAAAAUCUUGAAAAACUUAAUGAAGGCAAACGCGUCAAUUAAAACAAGAAAUGAGAUGGCACGGUCAAUGACAAGAAAGCAUCACCUAGCUUUCUAGGUCAGUAUGUACCUAAAAUCAAUUUAGAAAAACUUCCAUAGCCUUAUAAUGUAUACUUUAUAGUAUACAUAAUAAAGUAAGUAAGUAAGCAAGUAAGUAAGUAGGAAAUUAAGUGGGUAAGUAAGUAGGAAAUUAAGUCGGUAAGAAAGUAGGAAAUUAAGUAGGUAAGUAAGUAGAAAUUAAGUCGGUAAGAAAGUAGGAAAUUAAGUAAGUAAGUAAGUAAGAAAUUAAGUAGGUAAGUAGGUAGGAAAGUAGGAAAAUUAAGUCAGUAAGAAAGUAGGAAAUUAAGUAAAUAAGAAAGUAGGAAAUUAAGUAAAUAAGAAAGAUAGGAAAUUAAGUAGAUAAGUAAUAAGGUAAGAAAAUUAAGUAAGUAGGUAAGAAAGUAAGGUAAGUAAAGAAGGUAACUAAGUUAGGUAAGUAUAUAAGGUAAGUACAUAAGCAAAUAAAUAUGUAAGAAUGUACUUAAGUAUCAAAAACUACUUCCAUAGCCUUAAAGUGUAUGCACUAAUAAUCUAAAACUAUACUUCGCAUGUACUACAGAAAUUUGACAGCACUAACAUUAAUUUCAUUAAUUUUAAGAGAAAAAAGGUUGACAGUUUGUAGCUUAAGUGAUAACAAAAACUAACUUGACAAAUGGAUAAAAAGUACGUCAUUCUUUAAUAAAUAAAUUAAAAAGACCAAAAAAAAUUAAAAAAAAUCAGGUUGUCUGGUUACCAAGAAACCGCAAACCUCAAGAACUUUUCCCAUGUUGGAAAACAUACUGACCGUUACAAAGCCCUGACACUGGAGACUCCUUCCAAAACAUGUCCUUAAAGAAAGCUUCACUAUACCAACAAUUACCUACAUUAAAAUGCCCAUAAGUAAGCUAUUACUACAGGGGGGGAAAAAAAAGGAAAAAAAAAAACACAAAAACGUAUUGCAACAUGUGCAUUAAUACAAACAAACCUGUGUCUUGAUGUUGCAGAUAAUUCAUCAACACCUUCUUACCAAUCAGAAUUAAGCUUUCAACGCCACUGUAUUAUAAAUUCAUAUAACACUAAGUAGUCACCCUUGUUUACUAAGCCUUAUGCUUCACUCACGCUUUCCAGUUUUAGUGCUGAAAAAAGGUUAAAUAUCAUUUUGGCGGCUCUUGUAAGCAUCAGGUGCCAAAUGUGUGAAAGUGUGGGAAGAAUAAGAAAAACAACAGUGGGGGAGUAGGCGCAGAAAAAUGAGUACGCAUAGCCUUAAGCUGUAGAUCAGGCUUGCUCCCUCUAGCUGAAAAAGGGGUUUGGGGGGGGUCUAAAAUAUAGAUAUACUGCUGGCAGCCCAUGUGGAUUCUAUAGGAGAUGAAGGAUAAAACAAGACAAAUGAAGGAAAAGGACAGAUGGCAGUAGCUGUCAGUAACAGCAUUCUGGGCCAAUGGAAUGAAACAGUUUGAUCUCUCUGUGGAAGCUUGGAAAAAUGCCAUAAUAACGAAAAGAAGGAGGGAAAGUUAGACACUAAUGACUCAAAGAGAAAUGUAGGAAAAUGUUUGCUGUGGGCAGACAGAAGGAUGAAAGAGGAAAUGCAAAAGAGGCACACUGACAACCGAAAUACGUUACAUUUGUGACAACUGCUCUGUUUGUGGGCUCAGUGCUAAUGGCAGAAAUCCAAUGAAGUCCUGCUCCUUCAGCAAGGCCCUUAAACGUUAAAUACGCCCAUGCACUGGAAGUUUAACGUAGUGACAGACUGCUAGAGUCUGGGCCAAACUGAAAUUGCUCUAUAGCACACUAUGGUGCACCACCAGACUCCAAACCCGGCCCAUUAUAUUUCUGCAAAGUUUGCAUUGAAAUAAAGCCAAAUUAUCAAUGAGCAUAGAGUCAACUUCCAUAUUACAGUAUACUCAAAUGAUGCCAUAUGAUAAAUAUGGCCAAAAGUAUGUGGACACAACCCCCCCCCCC